This 254-nucleotide ribosomal RNA is filed under the name uncultured bacterium. Its description in RNAcentral is "partial 16S ribosomal RNA". It matches the Rfam family "Bacterial small subunit ribosomal RNA", at positions 524 to 776 of the family's 1533-position model. The record is from RNAcentral.
UACGUAGGGUCCGAGCGUUGUCCGGAAUUAUUGGGCGUAAAGAGCUCGUAGGCGGUGUGUCGCGUCGGCCGUGAAAACCUGCAGCUUAACUGUGGGCGUGCGGUCGAUACGGGCAUCACUGGAGUUCGGCAGGGGAGACUGGAAUUCCUGGUGUAGCGGUGAAAUGCGCAGAUAUCAGGAGGAACACCGGUGGCGAAGGCGGGUCUCUGGGCCGAUACUGACGCUGAGGAGCGAAAGCGUGGGGAGCGAACAGG